GGCCCUAUGGUCAAGUGGUCUAAGACAUCGCCCUUUCACGGCGGUAACCCGAGUUCGAACCUCGGUAGGGUCA
RNAcentral lists this transfer RNA (73 nucleotides) under Firmicutes bacterium CAG:475. It matches the Rfam family "tRNA". Rfam says of the family: Transfer RNA (tRNA) molecules are approximately 80 nucleotides in length. Their secondary structure includes four short double-helical elements and three loops (D, anti-codon, and T loops). Lineage: Bacteria; Bacillati; Bacillota. The record is from Rfam by way of RNAcentral.